GACGAACGCUGGCGGCGUGCUUAACACAUGCAAGUCGAACGGAAAGGCCCUGCUUUUGUGGGGUGCUCGAGUGGCGAACGGGUGAGUAACACGUGAGUAACCUGCCCUUGACUUUGGGAUAACUUCAGGAAACUGGGGCUAAUACCGGAUAGGAGCUCCUGCUGCAUGGUGGGGGUUGGAAAGUUUCGGCGGUUGGGGAUGGACUCGCGGCUUAUCAGCUUGUUGGUGGGGUAGUGGCUUACCAAGGCUUUGACGGGUAGCCGGCCUGAGAGGGUGACCGGCCACAUUGGGACUGAGAGACGGCGCAGACUCCUACGGGAGGCAGUAGUGGGGAAUAUUGCACAAUGGGCGGAAGCCUGAUGCAGCAACGCCGCGUGCGGGACGACGGCCUUCGGGUUGUAAACCGCUUUCGCCUGUGACGAAGCGUGAGUGACGGUAAUGGGUAAAGAAGCACCGGCUAACUACGUG
This 468-nucleotide ribosomal RNA is filed under the name uncultured bacterium. Its description in RNAcentral is "partial 16S ribosomal RNA". It matches the Rfam family "Bacterial small subunit ribosomal RNA", at positions 28 to 507 of the family's 1533-position model. The record is from RNAcentral.